CGUGUAGGCUGUUCUGCAAGUCGGGUGUGAAAGCCCCGGGCUCAACCUGGGAAGUGCACUCGAAACUGCAGAACUCGAGUCCUGGAGAGGAAGGCGGAAUUCUCGGUGUAGAGGUGAAAUUCGUAGAUAUCGAGAGGAACACCGGUGGCGAAGGCGGCCUUCUGGACAGUGACUGACGCUGAGACGCGAAAGCGUGGGGAGCAAACAGGACUUAGAUACCCUGGUAGUCCACGCCGUAAACGAUGGGUGCUAGGUGUCGCGGGCUUUGACCCCUGCGGUGCCGCAGCUAACGCAUUAAGCACCCCGCCUGGGGAGUACGGCCGCAAGGCUAAA
This 333-nucleotide ribosomal RNA is filed under the name uncultured bacterium. Its description in RNAcentral is "bacterial SSU rRNA". It matches the Rfam family "Bacterial small subunit ribosomal RNA", at positions 568 to 898 of the family's 1533-position model. The record is from RNAcentral.